UGUGCCAGCAGCCGCGGUAAUACGUAGGUGGCGAGCGUUGUCCGGAAUUAUUGGGCGUAAAGAGCGCGUAGGCGGGUAAAUAAGUCUGUUUUAAAAGUGCGGGGCUCAACCCCGUGAUGGAAUGGAAACUGUUUAUCUUGAGUACCGGAGAGGAAAGUGGAAUUCCCAGUGUAGCGGUGAAAUGCGUAGAUAUUGGGAGGAACACCAGUGGCGAAGGCGACUUUCUGGACGGUGUCUGACGCUGAGGCGCGAAAGCCAGGGAAGUGAACGGGAUUAGAAACCCCGGUAGUCC
Molecule: ribosomal RNA, 292 nt
Filed under: uncultured bacterium
Lineage: Bacteria
Description: partial 16S ribosomal RNA
Rfam family: Bacterial small subunit ribosomal RNA
Source: RNAcentral